AUACGGAGGAUGCGAGCGUUAUCCGGAUUUAUUGGGUUUAAAGGGAGCGUAGGUGGGAUAUUAAGUCAGCUGUGAAAGUUUGGGGCUCAACCUUCAAAUUGCAGUUGAUACUGGUUUCCUUGAGUACGGAACAGGUGGGCGGAAUUCGUGGUGUAGCGGUGCACUGCUUAGAUAUCACGAAGAACUCCGAUCGCGAAGGCAGCUCGCCGCAUCGGAACAGACACUGAGACGCGAAAGUGCGGUUGUCAGACAGGAUCACAGCCCAUGAUAGGCCGCACAGUAAGCGAUGCAUCCGCGGUGUUUCCGAUACUCUGUACGCGGCCAAGCGAAAGCGCUUCGUAUUCCAGCUGGGGUGCAUACCAGUAUCGGUGAAGCUCACAUGAUUUGACGGGG
Molecule: ribosomal RNA, 393 nt
Filed under: uncultured bacterium
Lineage: Bacteria
Description: partial 16S ribosomal RNA
Rfam family: Bacterial small subunit ribosomal RNA
Source: RNAcentral